UCCGUGUGCCAAAAAUAGGCCGCGGGCAAAGCCGCGCCCAAAAAUAACCGCCCGAAGGCCGGGGCGCCAAGUUCGUCCAGCGGAAAGAGGCCACAAAAACGGGUGGGCUAUAGCCUUGGGGGGUGGGGCUGGCCCACUUCAUCCGCCGGACUCGGAAUGCCGCGAGGGUUUGCGAGGGGCCUCCGUGUGCCAAAAAUAGGCCGCGGGCAAAGGCGCGCCCAAAUAUAACCGCCCGAAGGCCGGGGCGCCAAGUUCGUUCAGCGGAAAAAGCCCACAAAAACGGGUGGGCUAUAGCCUUGGUGGGCGGGGCUGCCCACUUCGUCCGCCGGACAACUUCGUCCGCCGGGCUCGGAAUGCCGUGAGACUUUGCGAGGGGCCUCCGUGCGCCAAAAAUAGUCCGCGGGCAAAGCCGCGCCCAAAAAUAACCGCCCGAAGGCCGGGGCGCCAAGUUCGUCCAGCGUAAAAAGGCCACAAAAACGUGUGGGCUACAGCCUUGGGGGGUGGGGCUGGCCAACUUCGUCCGCCGGACUCGGAAUGCCGCGAGACUUUACGAGGGGCCUCCGUGUGCAAAAAAUAGGCCGCGGGCAUAGCCGCACCCAAAUAUAACCGCCCGAAGGCCGGGGCGCCAAGUUCGUCCAGCGGACAAAGGCCACAAAAACGGGUGGGCUAUAGCCUUCGGGGGUGGGGCUGGCCAACUUCGUCCGCCGGACUCGGAAUGCUGUGAGACUUUGCGAGGGGCCUCCGUGUGCCAAAAAUAGGCCGCGGGCAAAGCCGCGCCCAAAAAUAACCACCCGAAGGCCGGGGCGCCAAGUUCGUCCAGCGGAAAAAGGCCCCAAAAACGGGUGGGCUAUAGCCUUGGGGGGUGGGGCUGGCCCACUUCGUCCGCCGGACUCGGAAUGCCGCGAGACUUUUCGAGGGGUCUCUGUUGCCAAAAAUAGGCCGCGGGCAAAGCCGCGCCCGAAGGCCGGGGCGCCAAGUUCGUCCAUCGAAAAAAGGCCACAAAAACGGGUGGGCUAUAGCCUUGGGAGGUGGGGCAGGCCAACUUCGUCCCCCGGACUCAGAAUGCCGCGAGACUUUGCGAGGGGUCUCCGUGUGCCAAAAAUAGGCCGCGGCCAGAGCCGCGCCCAAAAAUAACCGCCCGAAGGCCGGGGCGCAAAGUUCGUCCAGCGGAAAAAGGCCACGAAAACGGGUGGGCUAUAGCCUUGGGGGGUGGGGCUGGCCAACUUCAUCCGCCGGACUCGGAAUGCCGCGAGACUUUGCGAGGGGCCUUCGUGUGCCAAAAAUAGGCCGCGGGUAAAGCCGCGCCCAAAAAUAACUGCCCGAAGGCCGGGCGCCAAGUUCGUCCAGCGGAAAAAGGCAACAAAAACGGGUGGGCUAUAGCCUUGGGGGGUGGGGCUGGCCAACUUCGUCCGCCGGACUCGGAAUGCCGCGAGACUUUGCGAGGGGCCUCCGUGUACCAAAAAUAGGCCGCGGGCAAACCCACGCCGAAAAAUAACCGCCCGAAGGACGGGGCGCCCAGUUCGUCCUGCGGAAAAAGGCCACAAAAACGGGUGGGCUUUAGCCUGGGGGGUGGGGCUGGCCGACUUUGUCCGCCGGACUCGGAAUGCCGCGAGACUUUGUGAGGGGCCUCCGUGUGCCAAACAUAGGCUGCGGGUAAAGCCACGCCCAAAAAUAACCGCCCGAAGGCCGGGGCGCCGAGUUCGUCCAGCGGAAAAAGGCCACAAAAACGGGUGGGCUAUAUCCUUGGGGGGUGGGGCUCGCCAACUUCAUCCGCUGGUCUCGGAAUGCCGCGAGACUUUGCGAGGGGUCUCCGUGUGCCAAAAAUAGGCCGCGGGCAAAGCCGCGCCCAAAAAUAACCGCCCGAAGGCCGGGGCGCCAAGUUCGUCCAGCGGAAAGAGGCCUCAAAAACGGGUGGGCUAUAGCCUUGGGGGGUGGGGCUGGCCCACUUCAUCCGCCGGACUCGGAAUGCCGCGAGGGUUUGCGAGGGGCCUCCGUGUGCCAAAAAUAGGCCGCGGGCAAAGGCGCGCCCAAAUAUAACCGCCCGAAGGCCGGGGCGCCAAGUUCGUUCAGCGGAAAAAGCCCACAAAAACGGGUGGGCUAUAGCCUUGGUGGGCGGGGCUGCCCACUUCGUCCGCCGGACAACUUCGUCCGCCGGGCUCGGAAUGCCGUGAGACUUUGCGAGGGGCCUCCGUGCGCCAAAAAUAGUCCGCGGGCAAAGCCGCGCCCAAAAAUAACCGCCCGAAGGGCGGGGCGCCAUGUUCGUCCAGCGGAAAAAGGCCACAAAAACGGGUGGGCUAUAGCCUUGGGGGGUGGGGCUGGCCAACUUCCUCCGCCGGACUCGGAAUGCCGCGAGACUUUGUGAGGUACCUCCGUGUGCCAAAAAUAGGCUGCGGGUAAAGCCGCGCCCAAAAAUAACCGCCCGAAGGCCGGGGCGCCGAGUUCGUCCAGCGGAAAAAGGCCACAAAAACGGGUGGGCUAUAGCCUUGGGGGGUGGGGCUGGCCAACUUCAUCCGCCGGACUCGGAAUGCCGCGAGACUUUGCGACGGGCCUCCGUGUGCCAAAAAUAGGCCGCGGACAAAGCCGCGCCCAAAAAUAACCGCCCGAAGGCCGGGGCGCCAAGUUCGUCCAGCGGAAAAAGGCCACAAAAACGGGUGGGCUAUAGCCUUGGGGGGUGGGGCUGGCCAACUUCGUCCGCCGGACUCGGAAUGCCGCGAGACUUUGCGAGGGGCCUCCGUGUGCCAAAAAUAGGCCGCGGGCUAAGCCGCGCCCAAAAAUAACCGCCCGAAGGCCGGGGCGCCAAGUUCGUCCAGCGGAAAAAGGCCACAAAAACGGGUGGGCUAUAGCCUUGGGGGGUGGGGCUGACCAACUUUGUCCGCCGGACUCGGAAUGCCGCGAGACUUUGCGAGGGGCGUCCUUGUGCCAAAAAUGGGCUACGGGCAAAGCCGCGCCCAAAAAUAACCGCCCGAAGGCCGGCGCGCCAAGUUCGUCCAGCGGAAAGAGGCCACAAAAACGGGUGGGCUAUAGCCUUGGGGGGUGGGGCUGGCCCACUUCAUCCGCCGGACUCGGAAUGCCGCGAGGGUUUGCGAGGGGCCUCCGUGUGCCAAAAAUAGGCCGCGGGCAAAGGCGCGCCCAAAUAUAACCGCCCGAAGGCCGGGGCGCCAAGUUCGUUCAGCGGAAAAAGCCCACAAAAACGGGUGGGCUACAGCCUUGGUGGGCGGGGCUGCCCACUUCGUCCGCCGGACAACUUCGUCCGCCGGGCUCGGAAUGCCGUGAGACUUUGCGAGGGGCCUCCGUGCGCCAAAAAUAGUCCGCGGGCAAAGCCGCGCCCAAAAAUAACCGCCCGAAGGCCGGGGCGCCAAGUUCGUCCAGCGUAAAAAGGCCACAAAAACGUGUGGGCUACAGCCUUGGGGGGUGGGGCUGGCCAACUUCGUCCGCCGGACUCGGAAUGCCGCGAGACUUUACGAGGGGCCUCCGUGUGCAAAAAAUAGGCCGCGGGCAUAGCCGCACCCAAAUAUAACCGCCCGAAGGCCGGGGCGCCAAGUUCGUCCAGCGGACAAAGGCCACAAAAACGGGUGGG
This 3577-nucleotide long non-coding RNA is filed under the name Citrus x clementina. Its description in RNAcentral is "Citrus clementina (C. clementina) long non-coding RNA (CCLE_LNC006245)". The record is from RNAcentral. Lineage: Eukaryota; Viridiplantae; Streptophyta; Magnoliopsida; Sapindales; Rutaceae.